RNAcentral lists this ribosomal RNA (477 nucleotides) under uncultured anaerobic ammonium-oxidizing bacterium. RNAcentral describes it as "bacterial SSU rRNA". It matches the Rfam family "Bacterial small subunit ribosomal RNA", at positions 365 to 832 of the family's 1533-position model. The record is from RNAcentral.
UUCGCAAUGCCCGAAAGGGUGACGAAGCGACGCCGCGUGGGUGAGGAAGGCCUUCGGGUUGUAAAGCCCUGUCAGGAGUUAAGAAAUGUAAGUGUGUUAAUACCACAUUUAUUUGACGAAGGCUCCAAAGGAAGCCACGGCUAACUCUGUGCCAGCAGCCGCGGUAAUACAGAGGUGGCAAGCGUUGUUCGGAAUUAUUGGGCGUAAAGAGCACGUAGGUGGGUUUGUAAGUCAGAUGUGAAAGCCUUCUGUUCAACGGAAGAAUUGCAUCUGAAACUACAGAUCUUGAGUGUAGGAGGGGAGAGUGGAACUUCUGGUGGAGCGGUGAAAUGCGUAGAUAUCAGAAGGAACGUCGGCGGCGAAAGCGACUCUCUGGCCUAUUACUGACACUGAGUGUGCGAAAGCUAGGGGAGCAAACGGGAUUAGAUACCCCGGUAGUCCUAGCCGUAAACGAUGGGCACUAAGUAGAGGGGUUUU